AGACGGGGUCUUGCACUGUAGGCC
This 24-nucleotide non-coding RNA is filed under the name Cricetulus griseus (Chinese hamster). Lineage: Eukaryota; Metazoa; Chordata; Mammalia; Rodentia; Cricetidae. The record is from RNAcentral.